CUCAAAAUGAUAAAACUAUGAAAUGGAAGAGCCAAUACCCUGAGAAAAAGAGUUCCAUCUGUCUUUGUGUCUAAAACUCUAAGAAUUUCUUUGUUUGAUUGAGUUCUAAGUCAUGUGGCAGCCUCUAUUUCAGGCAUGCUCCUGCUUCCCUAUGCUCUUCCAUGGAGACUCAGCAUUACAACAGAAGGGUGAAGGAGGACCAGAAAGGCACCUGGGUGCAAGCCUGGCACCACAGGGAGCCCAGGGCAGGAAGCGAUUGAUUGAUCUGUGGGUGCGGAGACCUAUCUGGAGGCUUCUGUGCAUGUGAAUUGGCCUGUCCAAGCUGGUGUUUCUGCCAGCCUGACAGUCUGCUGAAGGGGACUCAGGUGUACACUUCAGCCACUCAAUAACUCUUUCCCUGCUGAAUGUCAAAUGAUUUGAUCCAAAGGGAAAGAGGCUGGAAUUUGUCUGGUGACUAAGUAACAACCAGGCCUUUUUGGCCAGGAAGAAUCUUUCAAGUGAUACAGAGAAUACAUGUGGAAACUGAAAUGAUGAUAUUGAUGAUGAUGGCAUUUAGAGCAGCAGUCACUGCCAUUAGGACAGCGUUGGACUCAAAAAUUCUUCAAAUGGCCUUGAUUUAUCCAGCUGAUAUGUAUUAAACAUGUAGAAAAGAAGAGUUCACAAAGACAUCAGAUCCUGGCCCUCAAGCAGACUUUUUAGUUGGGGGCUCAUGAUAGCCAUUUUCUCUCCAAUACCUUCUCUGCCCUCAGCAUCUUGC
Long non-coding RNA from Canis lupus familiaris (dog), 757 nucleotides. RefSeq lists it as uncharacterized. NCBI's taxonomy places the organism in Eukaryota, Metazoa, Chordata, Mammalia, Carnivora, Canidae. The transcript is spliced from 3 exons. The record is from RefSeq and is a predicted model, not a curated record.